Molecule: ribosomal RNA, 408 nt
Filed under: uncultured bacterium
Lineage: Bacteria
Description: bacterial SSU rRNA
Rfam family: Bacterial small subunit ribosomal RNA
Source: RNAcentral
UGGGGAAUAUUGGGCAAUGGGCGCAAGCCUGACCCAGCAACGCCGCGUGAAGGAAGAAGGCUUUCGGGUUGUAAACUUCUUUUGUCGGGGACGAAACAAAUGACGGUACCCGACGAAUAAGCCACGGCUAACUACGUGCCAGCAGCCGCGGUAAUACGUAGGUGGCAAGCGUUAUCCGGAUUUACUGGGUGUAAAGGGCGUGUAGGCGGGAUUGCAAGUCAGAUGUGAAAACUGGGGGCUCAACCUCCAGCCUGCAUUUGAAACUGUAGUUCUUGAGUGCUGGAGAGGCAAUCGGAAUUCCGUGUGUAGCGGUGAAAUGCGUAGAUAUACGGAGGAACACCAGUGGCGAAGGCGGAUUGCUGGACAGUAACUGACGCUGAGGCGCGAAAGCGUGGGGAGCAAACAGGA